AAAAACAUUUCUUUAAAGAAAAUAAAGUAAUACCUGCUCACUGUGAAUAUAUAAAGAGCCGCGCUUUUAAUCGUGCUAAGGUAGCAUAAUAAUUUGGUUUUUAAUUAAGAUCUAGAAUGAAAGGUUAAACGAGAUAUAAGCUUUUUUGUUUAUUCCUUUUCGAAUUUUUCAUUAAAGUGAAAAGACUUUAAUUAUCUAAAUAGAAGAGAAGACCCUGGGAAUUUAAAUUUUUUAAUGCAUUUUACAUAUAGUAAUUUUAGCUGGGGCGGCUUUUAAGUAAAAAUAACCUUAAAUUUUUUAAACUUAUAAAAGUAUAUUUAAGAUCCUGUUGAAGUAGAUUAUAAGGAAAAUUACCCCAGGGAUAACAGCGUAAUUUUUAUUUAGAGAUCUAAUCGUAAGGAAAGUUUGUGA
This 411-nucleotide ribosomal RNA is filed under the name Peltogaster sp. 3 JJ-2019. Its description in RNAcentral is "partial 16S ribosomal RNA". It matches the Rfam family "Archaeal large subunit ribosomal RNA", at positions 1901 to 2592 of the family's 2987-position model. Lineage: Eukaryota; Metazoa; Arthropoda; Thecostraca; Peltogastridae. The record is from RNAcentral.